RNAcentral lists this small RNA (741 nucleotides) under Histoplasma capsulatum var. duboisii H88. RNAcentral's name for it is "Histoplasma capsulatum H88 hypothetical RNA". Lineage: Eukaryota; Fungi; Ascomycota; Eurotiomycetes; Onygenales; Ajellomycetaceae. The record is from RNAcentral.
UUCAAGACGGGGGAAGGAGGCGGUGUGUGUCAAUAUCACCUUUGCUGGAGUAACAGUAGAUGCAUUCGGAUUAUCCAAGAUUCAAAUCCAAAGCCAAAAGAAAAUGUCCGUGGAAACAGAGACAGUUUGAAUGCAGGGAAUACAACACGCAGAGAGAUAAUAAUAACAAACGCAUCACUAUCCCCGUUAUCGUUCUUUCCUAACGAUAUCAAAAAGGAUAGCGGACUCGCUGGGGAUAGGUAUAAAGAAAAAUCGAGACAGAAGAACUAUAGUUGUCAAACCACUAACAAAGGAUACGCAGAUGCCAUAAACACAAUACCUAACUAACAAUUAUGCCUCCCUUUUUUACCACCGUAGAAUCCAAACAGGGUAUAAACCGAUGUAAUCCAAUAGGCCAACGUGAGGGCAAAUUCAAAAAUACGAAAAACAAAAGAAGGAAACAAAAGAAGUUCAAAAACAUAACUAGUUAGUCCCCAAUCAAAAAUCAACCCAUGAACACAACUAAUAUACUGGAGCAAAGAUAAACAGUUCCGACCGUAUAGAACAACAAACAAGCCCAUCGCAAACGAACGUGGGGAAUGUGUGGGUUCGUAAAGAAAAAAAAGAGCAAACUGUUUUAGAACAACGGCGGAAAAUAAAACACCUGAGGGGGGAAAAACAAGAGUAAAAUAAACGGCUUCCCCACCCACGCUAUGAACAAAGAGUCUGAGUAGGAAUAGAGACCGCAAAAUGUUAGUGCCG